AAUGCUGUUAGUUUGAACACAGAGCAACAUUAACUCUUGUGUUGGGCGUGGUUGGUUUGUGUUGGGUGUGGUUGGUUUGUGUUGGGCGUGGUUGGUUUGUGUCGGGCGAGUUUGGUUUGUGUUGGGCGUGGUUGGUUUGUGUUGGGCGUGGUUGGUUUGUGUUGGGUGUGGUUGGUUUGUGUUGGGCGUGGUUGGUUUGUGUUGGGAUUGGUUGGUUUGUGUUGGGCGGGGUUGGUUUGUGUUGGGCGUGGUUGGUUUGUGUUGGGCGUGGUUGUUUUGUGUUGGGCGUGGUUGGUUUGUGUUCGGCGUGGUUGUUUUGUGUUGGGCUUGGUUGGUUUGUGUUGAGUGUGGUUGGUUUGUGUUGGGCGAGUUUGGUUUGUGUUGGGCGUGGUUGUUUUGUGUUGGGCGUGGUUGGUUUGUGUUAGGCGUGGUUGGUUUGUGUUGGGCGUGGUUGGUUUGUGUUGGGUUUGGUUGGUUUGUGUUGGGCGUGGUUGGUUUGUUUUGGGUGUGGUUGGUUUGUGUUGGGCGUGGUUGGUUUGUGUUGGGCGUGGUUGGUU
Molecule: long non-coding RNA, 557 nt
Organism: Oncorhynchus tshawytscha (Chinook salmon)
Lineage: Eukaryota; Metazoa; Chordata; Actinopteri; Salmoniformes; Salmonidae
Source: Ensembl